This 82-nucleotide transfer RNA is filed under the name Aspergillus ustus. It matches the Rfam family "tRNA". From Rfam's summary of the family: Transfer RNA (tRNA) molecules are approximately 80 nucleotides in length. Their secondary structure includes four short double-helical elements and three loops (D, anti-codon, and T loops). Lineage: Eukaryota; Fungi; Ascomycota; Eurotiomycetes; Eurotiales; Aspergillaceae. The record is from Rfam by way of RNAcentral.
UCCGAUAUGGUGUAAUGGUUAACAUCGCCGUCUCUCAUUGAGAGUUCCACGGCAGCUCGGGGUUCGAUUCCCCGUAUCGGAA